Molecule: long non-coding RNA, 10076 nt
Filed under: Homo sapiens (human)
Lineage: Eukaryota; Metazoa; Chordata; Mammalia; Primates; Hominidae
Description: non-protein coding lnc-VAV3-11:1
Source: RNAcentral
ACUUCCUGCGGGGUCGCCCGGCCGGCGGCGCGGAAGGUCUCCUGUGCCUGCUCACGGGAGCUGUUUUGUAUUGCUCUUCUGGUGUCCUGGCAUCCCUUUUCCCACCCACGACGCCCACAUUCUGAGAUCCUUUCAUUCCCCCUCCCACCCUUAGCUCCUCAGUUUUUUGCUUUCACUCCCUUCCUGAAGUAGGCACGCACACUUAAGACUAAUAAUCCACCUUUGUUUCUUCUGCUGAACUCACCUCUGUUUUUUUUGUUUGUUUUUCUGUUUUUUGUUUUUUUUGAGAGGGAGUUUCGCUCUUGUUUCCCAGGCUGGAGUGCAAUGGCGCGAUCUCCGCUCACCGCAACCUCCGCCUCCUGGGUUCAAGCGAUUCUCCUGCCUCAGCCUCCCGAGUUGCUGGGAUUACGGGCGCAUGCCACCAGGGCCGGCUAAUUUUGUAUUUUUGGUAGACGGGGUUUCUCCCUGUUGGUCAGGCUGGUCUCAAACUCGCGACCUCAGGUGAUCCGCCCACCUCGGCCUCCCAAAGUGCUGGGAUUACAAGCGUGAGCCACCGCGCCCGGCCUAACUCACCUCUGGUUUUAUUCCACCGAAUUAACAUGGCAGCACCAUCCACCCACUACCGCCUUAACUGGACAAUUGUAGCUCUUAAAGUGCUCCAGCUGUGGCAAUUUAGAAACUGCACUACGCAUUUCUUUUUUCUGUUUUCAGUGCAGUUAGAGUGCAAAUGUAACAAAAUUAAAACCUAACAAUGCAAAAUCUUGGUUCUGAUUCCAGUAUGACCACUAAUUAGUUGAGUGAUUUAGGGCAAAUAAUAGAACUUCUCUGGCCUUUAGUUGCCCAUUCACCCACCAGCGAAUCUUCAUUGCAGUUGGGGAAGAACUAGGUUUCUGGUUCUACUUAGAAGAAUAGUUACUUGGCUUUCGGCUCUGCUCUGAUAAUUCUGUGGCUCUCUUAAGAGUUAAAUCCUGAAAAGUGCAGACUCAAGAGCCAUGUGAUACAAGCAAACUCGUUGCUAGGUGUAUUCUAUAUAUAUAUGCGUUUUUUUCUCUCAGAAAUAACGGAAUCAAUUUCUUUUAAUCACUUUCUCAAUGCAAUUCAUUUUUUCCUGUGUUUUCUUGUCCGGGCAAUAUUGACACUCUCCUCUUUCUCUUAUAUUUUUCUUGUAGUCAACCAUCAGCUGUUACUCUCUUUUUGUUGUCCAUAAUGGAAAUAAAAUAUGUUUUUAAAUAUGUGUGGCAUCUGUAUGGGUGUCCGUGUUAUUAACAAGGUGGGCAUAAUGCCAUUUUCUGCCAGCUUGAAAAAAAAGUCACUCAGAGUAAAAUGGAUUUUUAUUUUCUUGUGGUCUUGAAUUAUGUCCUUGUAACCAAUAGGCCUGUAUUCCUUGUCUGGGAUCAAAGUUCUUUCAUCCUAUUUUCUCUAUUAAUCUUUCAUUAGCAGAAUAGGUUUAUUGAUAUGGCAUCCUUAGCUGUACUCUACUUCUAACUCAAGACUCUCCAUCCUGGCUGCUUAUUAGAAUUCUCUAAGGAGCUUUUUAAAAAAUACCGAUGCCUGGGUCUACCUCAGACCAAUUAAAUCGGAAUCACUCCAGUGGAACCUGGGCUUCUAGUUUUUAAAAGCUCCCCAGGGAAUUCUAAUGGGCAGCCAGGGUGAGAACAACUGUUUCUCACUAAAAUGAUCUUAGUUAAAUCUUGCUUCGUUAUUUUAAUUGGGUAAAUUGUAUUUUUUUCAGUGGCCUGGGCUCAACCAUUUAAGGCUAAAAACCUUGAAGUAUUUCUUCUCUUUUUCUGCCUUGGUUUAAUAUCUUAUUUUAAGAUAAUUGAGGCCCAGUGUAGGACAUCAGAUUAGAGUUGUAAAUGUGACCACUUUAAUAUGUUACUUUUAUUAAUAGGUUGUUACUUAGUGUAUACUUUUGCCAUUCUUUCUUUCCUCAAAAUGUCACCUUUUCCUUUUAAAUACAUUCAUUCCUUCACCCAAUUUUCAAUUCACUUCCUUAUGGUCUCUUUUAAGAAAAUUCUGAAUAUAAGUUUCACUGGUUCUACCUCCAAAAUAUAUCUUGAAUCCAUCUGCUUUUCUCCAUUUCUAUUGUCAACACCCUAGUCUAAUCUUCCAUAUUGACUUGCCUGAAAAUUAGUCUCCUAAGGGAUCGCUCAGCUUCUAAUCUCAACCCUAUCUAAUCCCUUCUCUACAUAGCUGAAAGAAUAAGCUUUUAUAAAACCCAUUGGGCCAUGUCAUUCUUCAGUAACUUCCCGUGUUAGUUAAUGGAACAAUUCAGUAACUUCAGGUAACUUCCCAUCUCAUCUCAUACCAUUUUUCCCAACUCUUCAUUGGGCUCAAGAUAUACUGGUUUCUAAUAACACAUUUCUUUCCUGUGUCAGGUCGUCAUGCAUACUCUUCUGGUGCUGAGAAAAUUGUUUUUCUCCUUAGCACUUCACUUUAGUGGCUUCUCAUCCUUCAUGUCUCAACUUAAAUGUUACCUCAUGAAAAAGGCCUUUCCUGGCUUCCUUAAAUAAUAUUUUCAAACCCAAGACACUAUUUUGUUCCCUCCCAGCAUUCAUUAUUAUCUGUAUGUAUUUAAUUAAUUUAUUUGUUUUCUAUACAAUAUCAACUCCAGGAGACUUGGACUUUUGUAUUCCCACUAUUGCAGUCCUUAGCACUACAACAGAAGCUGGCACAUAGAAAGUGCUCAAUAAAUAGUCUUGAACAAAGUCUAUUGUGGAUGUAGAGAGUUUUGCUUCAUUAGUUCAAUGUGACAAUGUGACUUGGUAAACUCUGAGAUAGAUCCAGAUAUAGAUAGAAUGUGGAAUGCUCCCAGAAAUGAGAAUAGUAUAAAUUUUAAAUACUGUUAAUGCUUCUAGAUAGAAUAGUGGUAAGCACCAAACAUUAUCCCUAGAGCAGAUUAAAAAAGGUCUGUGGCACUUUCCUUUCCUGCCCUUUUAUUUGAUAUAGAGAAGGAGUUCUUUACUGAUCUUUUGUACCACAGUGAGAUGUUUUAAGUAGGAAAGGGACCUAGAUCAUAGCCCUUCCCUAAGCCGUGCGGCUCAGCAGCAAACCACCUGCAUGGGAGAAGAGUUGGAGUUCUGCUGGCAGAGCAUUCUUAGUAUUUUCAUUUCAGCGAUCUGCUUGCCACGUCUAUUCAAUGCUCAAACCCAGUUUUUCAAACAAAUGAUCUUGAAAUUUUAAUUUAGUGCAACUUGACCACCAUUAAGAAGAAAUAAUAGAUCAGAAAAUACUAAAUGUGUCAAAUGAGUAAAGGUGGGUAUUAUUUCAUAAAACUUGUUUCGUGGCUCACACCUGUAAUCCUGGCACUUUGGGAGGCCGAGGCAGGCAGAUCACGAGGUCAGAAGUUCGAGACCAUCCUGGCCAACAUGGUGAAACCCUGUCUCUACUAAAAAUACAAAAAUUAGCUGGGCAUGGUGGCACGCGCCUGUAGUCCCAGCUACUCAGGAAGCUGAGGCAGGAGAAUCGCUUGAACCCGGAAGGCAGACGUUGCAGUGAGCAGAGAUUGUGCCACUGCACUCCAGCCUGGUGAAAGAGCGAGACUCCGUCUAAAAAAAGUACUGUAUGUAUAUUUCUUGCUUCAGGUUAUGGUUAAAAGUUUGAAAUAUACAGCUUACUGUUCUCCAAAAACACUAUGAAUUUUGGGACUUCUGUACUUUUGCUUUGCGUGCCUCUACUCUUCCCUCCUCUCACUCAUCUUUUUAGCUAAUGCUCAAAUGAUGUUUUUUCAGCCAGUCUAUGGCCCUUUAAUACAUAUAACUCUUUUUGCACUUGUAUCAUUGUAUCAGAACUAUUUAUAUAUCUGGCUUUGGACUGUGGACAUUUGAACACCAAGAUUUUGUAUUUUUCAUUUUUAUGCUGAGAACCUAGUGCAUUGUGCUGGAAUCUGGACCUUUCCAUAUUCCAGAUUGUUGCUCCCAAGUAUACUGAGGUUCACAGAUGUGCUUUGGAUGACUGGGAGAAUCAUGAUCUCUUUUCUGUAUCAAACACACUCAUUUAUUUGUUCAACCAUUCAUUUAUUCAACAGGCAUUCUGGACUUUUAUCAUUCUAGAAAUAAGGAAUAAAGUAAACAAAAAGCAAACAUUCUUAUCUCUGAGGAACUUAUAUUUUUGUGUUAAUGUUAUGUUAUCUAUUAUUAUUAUGCUUUUUUACUAGCAAUUUAUUAUACCACUUUUAAGUCUCAACUCUCAUGUAUUAUUUUAUCUUGGAUGUGCUGAUGUGAUAUUCUCCCACAAAUAUUUAUUUCUAAAUUUCUUUCCCUUUUUAAUUCAAAGGUAUAUUAUUUAAAAAUAUUUUUUAAAGCCUAGUGUAAGGAUUGAAGAUAGUUCUUUCAGGAUUUCAAAAAUUCACUGUAAUUCUCAAAGUGUGUUGAGGAAGGGUAAAGGAGCAAUGGCAUGAAAAAUGUUAUAACUGUCUCUUUGAUAUGAAUAUUCGUUAAAUGAUGUAGUUCUUGCCAUUCUGCAGUUACUUGGAAGCUGCCAGCAUAGAAAGAAGUACUACUGUUAAAAAAAAUUUAUAUAAAAUAAAGACACAAGUGGUGACUUUUAUGUCUAAACAAAUUGGAACAUCAAACAUAGAAAGCCUAGGUAUAUGUUAUUAUCUUGAUAUGUAUAGUGUCUUUUAGAUCCGUGGUGUAUUGGCCCAGCUAUUAAACCCCAUACUGAAACAGAUGAAUAGCAAAUUCACAGCUUCUUGAUGAUAUUAUUAUGAGUGGGUGUAAUUCUUUAAGAAAAGUUUGUAUUGAAUUGUUUAGGUAGUAUAAACAAGGAUAUUAUACACUUAAUUAAUAAUUAUCAAUUCAGUUUCUAUUUAUUGAGCCCUCUUAAAAUACAGAAUAUUGAACUGUAACAACUUCAGGUAUAAAUAUUGAUUAUGACAUUUUAACAAUUUCUACUAUAAAUCAGGCCAACCAUAAUAAAAAUAGUAAAGAAAAAUGUGAAUGUAAAUUAUAAUGUGGGGAAAAGUUAUGUCUCAGUGCAUCCAUGGAAAUGUACACCUGCUUACCUACCUAAGGCAUAAUGAGAAUCGGGUAGCUUAAUGAAAUUCAGAUAUUAAGCCUAAUGAAUAUCAUUUAAUAGAACUUCUGUCUCUUUUUUAUUCUUUUGUGCAAACCUUUAACAUGAAAGAAAGCCAGCUAUUGGCUUUUUUUUGCUGUGUCAUGCUUUUUUAUUUUCUAACUUUUAUGGGUACAUAUUAGGUGUAUAUAAUUAUGAAGUACAUAUGAUUUCUUUUAAAUUUAAUUUAAUUUUAUAUUAAGUUCCAGGAUACAUGUGCAGGAUGUGCAGGUUUGUUACAUAGGUAAACAUGUGUUGUGGUGGUUUGCUGCACCUAUCAACCCAUCACCUAGGUAUUAAGGCCCACAAGCAUUAGCUAUUUAUCCUGAUGCUCUCCCUCCCCCUGUUCCUCUGAAAGGCCCCAGUGUGUGUUGUUCCCCUCCCUGUGUCCCUGUGUUCUCAUUGUUAACUUCCAAUUAUAAGUGAGAACAUGUGACGUUUGGUUUUCUGUUCCUGUAUUAGUUUGUUGAGGAUAAUGGCUUCUAUCUCCAUCCAUUUCCCUGCAAAGGACAUGAUCUCUUUCCUUUUUAUGGCUGCAUAGUAUUCCAUGGUGUAUAUGUACCACAGACGACAUGAACCUAUAUCUAGAAAACCCCAUAGUCUCUGCCCAAAACCUCCUUAAGAUAAGCAACUUCAGCAAAGUCUCAGGAUACAAAAUCAAUGUGCAAAAAGCACAGGCAUUCCUAUACACCAACAAUAGACAAGCAGAGUCAAAUCAUAAAUGAACUCCCAUUCACAUCUGCUACAAAGAGAAUAAAAUACCUAGGAAUAUAGCUAAGAAGGGAAGCGAAGGACCUCUUCAAGGAGAACUACAAACCACUGCCCAAGGAAAUAGGAGAGGACACAAACAAAUGGAAAAACAUUCCAUUUUCAUGGAUAGGAAGAAUCACUAUUGUGAAAAUGACCAUACUGCGCCAAAGUAAUUUGAGAUUCAAUGCUAUUCCCAUUAAACUACCAUUGACAUUCUUCACAGAAUUAGAAAAAACUACUUUAAAAAUCAUACAGAACCAAAAAAGAGCCCAUAUAGCCAAGACAAUCCUAAGCAAAAAACAAAGCUGGAGGCAUCAUGCUACUCAACUUCAAACUAUACUUACUACAAGGCUACAGUAAACAAAAAAAGCAUGGUACUGGUAUAAAAACAGACACAUAGACCAAUAGAACAGAAUAGAGAUCUUACAAAUAAGGCCACACAUCUGCAACCAUCUGACAUUCAACAAACCUGAUGAAAAGAAGCAAUGGGAAAAGGAUUCCCUAUUUAAUGAAUUGUGCUGGCAAAAUUGACUAGUCAUAUUGAAAAAGUGAAAAUUGAAACUGGAUCCCUUACUUAUACCUUCUACAAAUAUUAACUCAAGAUGGAUUAAAGACUUAAAUGUCAAACCCAAAACUAUAAAAACCCUAGAAGAAAAUGUAGGCAAUACCAUUCAGGACAUAGGCACAGGCAAAGACUUCAUGACAAAAACAUCAAAAGCAAUUGCAACAAAAGCAAAAAUUGACAAAUGAGAUCUAAUUAAACUAAAGAGCUUCUGCAAAGCAAAAGAAACUAUCAUCAGAGUGAACAGGCACCCUACAGAAUAGGAGAAAAAUUUUGCAAUCUAUCCAUCUGACAAAGGUCUAAUAUUUGGCUUCUACCAAGAACUUAAACAAAUUUACAAGAAUAAAUAAACAACCCCAUUAAAAAGUGGGCAAAGGACAUGAACACACACUUCUCAAAAGAAGACAUUUGGCUGGGCGUGGUGGCUCACGCCUGUAAUCCCAGCACUUUGGGAGGCCGAGGAGGGGGGAACACCAGGUCAGGAGAUCGAGACCAUCCUAGCUAACAUGGUGAAACCCCAUCUCUACUAAAAAUACAAAAAAUUAGCCAGGUGUGGUGGUGGGCACCUGUAGUCCCAGCAACUCAGGAGGCUGAGGCAGGAGAAUGGCAUGAUCUCAGGAGGCGGAGCUUGCAGUGAGCAGAGAUAGUGCCAUUGCACUCCAGCCUGGGCGACAGAGCGAGACUCUGCCUCAAAAAAAAAAAAAAAAAAAAAAAAAAACCAGACAUUUAUGCAGCCAAUGGACACGUGAAAAAAAGCUCAAUGUAGUUACAUUACAUUGUGAUCAUUACAGACAUGGAAAUUGAAACCACAAUGAGAUACCAUCGUACGCCAGUCAGAAUCCUAUUAUUAAAGUCAAGAAACAACAGAUGCUGGCGAGGCUGCAGAAAAAUAGUAAUGCUUUUCCACUGUUUAUGGGAAUGUAAAUUAGUUCAACCAUUGUGGAAGACAGUGGCGAUUCCUCAAAGACCUAGAACCAGAAAUGCCAUUUGAUCCAGCAAUCCCAUUACUGAGUAUAUACUCAAAGGAGUAGAAAUCAUUCAGUUUUAAAGAUACAUGCACAUGUAUGUUCACUGCAGCACUAUUCACAAUAACAAAGACAUGGAAUCAACUCAAAUGCCCAUUAAUGAUAGACUGGACAACUAUUGGUCUUUAUCAGAUUCUUAUGUUCUCAUAGUAGUUUGCUACUGAUGGCAUUUGAAGUGCAUGGAAAUAAUUAUACUCACAUUAUACUCACGGUAGUCUGGUGGUUCUCAAAGUGUGGUCUCUAGACCAAUAGCAGCAGCAUCACCUGAGAAAUUGUUAGAAUUACAAAAUUUUGGACCCCAUCCUAGAUCUAAUGAAUUGGAAUCUUUGGGGAAGAGAAUCUGCAGUCUUCCUUCUUAAUAGGCUUUCAGGUGAUUCUGAUGCACACUGAAAUUUGAGAACCACUACCUACCUAGAUAGUUUGAAGAGUACAAGAACCAAUGUGAGGCCAUGUAGAGUUUAUGGAAUGGAGCAUCUAUUAUUUUUUUCUACUGCUGUAUAACAAAUUACUACAAAUUCAGUUAGCAUCUUAAAACAAUAUGAUUUUUAUUUUUAUUUUUAUUUAUUUAUUUUUUUGAUCUCACAGAGGCAAUGGGUCAGAAGUUCAGGCACAGCUUAGGUGUGUCCUCUCAAAGCUGCAAUCAAGUUGUUGACCUGGCAGCCUUCCUUUCUGGAGCUCAAAUUAUCUUCCAAGCUCAUGUGAUUGUUGUUGGCAGAGCUCAGUUCCUUGCAUUUGUAGGACUGAGGUUCCCCUUUUCUUCCUGAUUGUCAGAUGGGGGCUACUUGCAGUUCCUUGAAGCUGCUGGCAGUUCCUUGCUAUGUGGUCCUCUCCCAGACUCUUUCACAACAUAGCAGCUUACUUCUUCAAGGCCAAGAGGAGAAGCUUUCCUAUUUCAGGAAGGUUCCUGGUCCAAGUCCACACUCCCUCCUACAAGAUAAUUUUGAUUAACUCAAAUUCCACUAAUAUGGGACCUCAUUUAUAUCCAUAAAAUAAUAUUUUCAGCUGGAGAAAUGACUGAGGAUAGAGACUAAUGGUAUAUUCCCACCAAAGCUUGAUAAACUUAAAAUAUCUGCCAAGAAAUCUAUGUCUCAGAAGAAUAUGUGUCUGGCUCAUGGCAUGUAGAGAUGGAGGCAGGACAAUAUGGUCUGGAGGCAGGGAACCUAAGGACUUCCUAGAACUAAAUCAAACUGAAAAACCCCAACUUUCUAAGCCCAAGUAAAUGACAUUGUAACUUCACUUCAGCCUCUUCAUUUGCAAAGGGUGUACACCAAGUAAAUAACUUUGUAACUUCACUUCAGCCUCUUCAUUUACAUGGGGUGUACACCAAGUAACCAAUGGAAUACCUCUAGAGGGUAUUUAAAUCCCUGAAAAUUCUGUAACCAGCACUCUUGAGCUGCUUACUGGAGCCUGCUCCCACUCUGUGGAGUGUACUCGUUUCAAUAAAUCUGUGCUUUUCUUUCCUUGCUUUAUUUGUGCAUUUUGUCCCAUUCUUUGUUCAAGAUGCUGAGAACUUUGACACCCUCUACUGGUAACAGAAAUGACUGGGUCAAAUAGACAAAAAACAAAGUUUUGAACAAGCUGUAUGUACUCUACAUCUGAGCAGAAAAUUUUAAUACAGCUGCAUAGUUUGCCUCUGUCACCCUUGAGUUUCUAAACUCUGCCAUAUGAAAAGCAUGCCACAAAUAGUAGCUACUUUUCUAGCCUGGGUCACAGAAAGGAGAUUCCUGGAAUGAAGUGAAACUGAGCUGAGCCUAAGUGAACCCAGGAGAACAUAGCAGGCCACGGUUCUCAUGUAAUGGAAGCAAGGAACAAAAUACAUUUUGUUGUGAACACCGAGAUAUUGGGGUUGUUACGAUAGCAAAAACAAAUCUGAGAAAUAAUAAACAUACAGAAUGAAUUAUUGAAACUGACCCAAUAGUCUCAUCAAUAGAUAGGUUUUGUUUGCUUUUUUGUUUUUGAUAAACAUAGAAAUUGACCCAUCUGGUCUUAAGGCUUGAAACUUAUAUUUAAUUUAUCUGAGUUCCUUCCUCAGGAAAUGACCUUCAGGCUUCUAAAAAAAGAAAGUAUCAAAGAACUGAAACUCACCAGAUCACCAGUCCAGGCAAUGAGAUGCCAGACCCCUCAUUCACCGUGAUUGCUUCCUUACCCCUCCUCCUACUUGUUUUCUUACACAUUAUUACAUUUCUUCCCUGCUAUCUAAACCCCUAAUUUUAGUGGGUCAGGGAGAUGGAUUUAAGACUGAUCUCGGCUGCAGCACCAAAUUAAAGCCUUCUUCCUUGGCAAUAAUCCUCUCAGUGAUUGGCUUUCUGUGCAGCAGGACCUACACUGGACCUAGACUGAACCCUGGGUAUUUCAGUAACAUCGUUAUUGUGGAAUUAUUACCCAAGUCACUACAUAAAACAUUACUAACACUAGAGUCCUCCCUAUGUCCUUCCAAUCCUAUACUUUCCAUCUUUCCCAAAAGUAAGUAUUCUAAAUACUACAAAAUAUUUGGUGACCUGGUUUGAACUUCAUAUAACUGGAAUAAUAGAGUAUAUGCUCCUGAGAGUCAUCUAUGUGACUAUGUAUGGCUUUUUUUUUCACUUUCUGUGGUUUAUUUUAAAUUAUGAAUAUACCAUAGUUUAUUUAACUGUGUUUCUGUUGUUGCACAGUUCCUCUUAAAUAAAAAUUAUCAUUCCUGUCAG